Meriones unguiculatus (Mongolian gerbil) is the source of this 474-nucleotide long non-coding RNA. RefSeq lists it as uncharacterized. The transcript is spliced from 5 exons. Lineage: Eukaryota; Metazoa; Chordata; Mammalia; Rodentia; Muridae. The record is from RefSeq and is a predicted model, not a curated record.
GCUCGUUUGUGCCUGGAGCUCCUUUUCUGAAGAGAUUCAUGGUCGGAAUCAGUCUUGUCUUCCUCUGUUGGCUUGUGACCCUCUUCAGAGCCAGGGUGGAGGAGUCCUGUUCUUCACGUGUGACCUCCCAACUUCCUCUAUGGGUGCCAUCUUCUUGACGCCGUUCUGUAGCUGUGGAUGGCCAAGGCAAACUCCACCCAGCCUGGAUUGCUGGGUUGUGGCCGAUGAGUUCCCUCCACCAUCAGACUGGACUUGCUACCAGAACUGCGACCCAGAGUAAGUUCCAGAACAUCCAGGAGCCAGAGAUACAUAGAGAGACCCUGCCCCCCCAAAAAUGGGGUAUCUUGCUGUGAGGGGACAUUUGCUCUGCGAACCUCAGCCAGAACAACAUGUUGCAGCUGUUAAAUGUAGAAGCAGCUAUGAGUCCAGAUGUCUCUUAUUAGGACAGACAUUAAGGCGCUUGCCAAAAAUACC